GAACAGCUGAGGAGUCCCACAAUAGGACGAAACGGCCGUUCAGUGC
This 46-nucleotide non-coding RNA is filed under the name Schistosoma mattheei. The record is from RNAcentral. Lineage: Eukaryota; Metazoa; Platyhelminthes; Trematoda; Strigeidida; Schistosomatidae.